This 433-nucleotide ribosomal RNA is filed under the name uncultured bacterium. RNAcentral describes it as "partial 16S ribosomal RNA". It matches the Rfam family "Bacterial small subunit ribosomal RNA", at positions 29 to 507 of the family's 1533-position model. The record is from RNAcentral.
AACGAACGCUGGCGGCAUGCCUAACACAUGCAAGUCGAACGAGACCUUCGGGUCUAGUGGCGCACGGGUGCGUAACGCGUGGGAACCUGCCCUUAGGUUCGGAAUAACUCCCCGCAAGGGGUGCUAAUACCGGAUAAUGUCUUCGGACCAAAGAUUUAUCGCCUUUGGAUGGGCCCGCGUUGGAUUAGCUAGUUGGUAGGGUAAAAGCCUACCAAGGCGACGAUCCAUAGCUGGUCUGUGAGGAUGAUCAGCCACACUGGGACUGAGACACGGCCCAGACUCCUACGGGAGGGUGCAGUGGGGAAUAUUGGACAAUGGGCUAAAGCCUGAUCCAGCAAUGCCGCGUGAGUGAUGAAGGCCUUAGGGUUGUAAAGCUCUUUUACCCGGGAUGAUAAUGACAGUACCGGGAGAAUAAGCUCCGGCUAACUCCGUG